Molecule: ribosomal RNA, 433 nt
Filed under: uncultured bacterium
Lineage: Bacteria
Description: partial 16S ribosomal RNA
Rfam family: Bacterial small subunit ribosomal RNA
Source: RNAcentral
AACGAACGCUGGCGGCAUGCCUAACACAUGCAAGUCGAACGAAACCUUCGUGUCUAGUGGCGCACGGGUGCGUAACGCGGGGGAACCUACCCGUAGGUUCGGUAUAACUCCCCGAAAGGGGUGCUAAUACCGGAUAAUGUCUUCGGACCAAAGAUUUCUCGCCUUUGGGUGGGCCCGCGUUGGAUUAGCUAGUUGGUAGGGUAAAAGCAUAGCAAGGCGACGUUGCAGGGCUGGUGGGAGAGGAGGACCAGCUGCACUGGGAAUGAGGCACGGCCUAGACUGCUACGGGGGGCAGCAGAGGGGUAUAUUGGACGAGGGGCGAAAGCCUGACACAGCAAUGUGGCGUGAGUGAGGAAGGCCUUAGGAUUGUAAAGCUCUUUUAGCCGGGAUGAUAAUGACAGUACCGGGAGAAGAAGCACCGGCUAACUCCGUG